This 340-nucleotide small nuclear RNA is filed under the name Neogale vison (American mink). Its description in RNAcentral is "Neovison vison (American mink) 7SK RNA (ENSNVIG00000018059.1)". It matches the Rfam family "7SK RNA". Rfam says of the family: 7SK was discovered as an abundant small nuclear RNA in the mid-70s but a possible function has only recently been suggested. Two independent studies have found that 7SK RNA binds the CDK9/cyclin T complex (known as elongation factor P-TEFb). The record is from RNAcentral. Lineage: Eukaryota; Metazoa; Chordata; Mammalia; Carnivora; Mustelidae.
GGAUGUGAGGGCGAUCUGGCUGCGACAUCUGUCACCCCAUUGAUCGCCAGGGUUGAUUUGGCUGAUCUGGCUGGCUAGGCAGGUGUCCCCUUCCUCCCUCACCGCUCCAUGUGUGUCCCUCCCGAAGCUGCGCACUCGGUGGAAGAGGAUGACCUUCCCCGAUAGAGGAGAGGACCGUUCUUCGGUCAAGGGUAUACGAGUAGCUGCGCUCCCCUGCUAGAACCUCCAAACAAGCUCUCAAGGUUCAGUAAGGUAUUUUGUAACGUAUGCAAUUUUACUAUAAAAUUUAUAUGUAAAGGUACAGGAACUCUAAUAACUAAAACAAAAUUUUUUUUUAUUU